RNAcentral lists this ribosomal RNA (372 nucleotides) under uncultured bacterium. RNAcentral describes it as "bacterial SSU rRNA". It matches the Rfam family "Bacterial small subunit ribosomal RNA", at positions 524 to 898 of the family's 1533-position model. The record is from RNAcentral.
UACGGAGGGUGCAAGCGUUGUCCGGAUUUAUUGGGUUUAAAGGGUGCGUAGGCGGCUCUUUAAGUCAGUGGUGAAAUCCUACAGCUUAACUGUAGAACAGCCAUUGAUACUGAAGAGCUUGAGUACAGACGAGGUAGGCGGAAUUUAUGGUGUAGCGGUGAAAUGCAUAGAUACCAUAAAGAACUCCUAUUGCGAAGGCAGCUUACUAGGCUGUAACUGACGCUGAGGCACGAAAGCGUGGGGAUCAAACAGGAUUAGAUACCCUGGUAGUCCACGCCGUAAACGAUGAUUACUCGAUGUUCGCGAUAUACUGUGAGCGUCCAAGCGAAAGCGUUAAGUAAUCCACCUGGGAAGUACGAUCGCAAGAUUGAA